RNAcentral lists this long non-coding RNA (586 nucleotides) under Equus caballus (horse). RNAcentral's name for it is "lncRNA (ENSECAG00000029938.2)". The record is from RNAcentral. Lineage: Eukaryota; Metazoa; Chordata; Mammalia; Perissodactyla; Equidae.
ACCCCGUGAGGGGGUGGUGUUGCUGGCUUCUCAGUGACUCCGCAGUGGAAAGUCCCAGCCUCACAGCGCCCUGCCCCAGGGUCGGGAGCCAGCAGCCUUGGGAGAGGCAGGUUCCGACUUUGCUCUCCUCCGGAGAUGUCCCUUUCCCUUCCCAAGGAUACUGAGAUGCUGGAGCUGAGGAACGAUGGGGGAAAGUGUCCUUGCCAAAAGAGACGUGGACUUGGGGCUUUUAUUUCUGGAGCUGGCUGUCUAGCUCUCCUAAUGAGCGAAUAUGCUCUCUUUAAGGAAACAAACAAACAAAGCAAAAACACCAAUUCAUCUGGAUUUUAUUCAUUUGUUUUAAAUGCAAACAAACAAAAGGAGAGGGAGAAGUGGUUAUUUCUGCACCAACUAUUUCAAAUGCAAGUUACUCCAUUGCUCGGGGUGUUUGGAUGUGCUUGUCGCCAUAGGACCCACAGGGCUAGUUCCAACCGUUAUUCGUGCCUCAACCUGUCAUGGUGUUUUUUAAAUUUGCUAUUGAAUGUCACGUCCGUCAGGCACAUGGAUACUCGUGGGGUGCAGUGCUGGGCCCGAGGACUUCAGAGAG